CGUAGGUGGCAAGCGUUGUCCGGAUUUAUUGGGCGUAAAAGCGAGCGCAGGCGGUCAAAUUAAGUCUGAUGUGAAAAGCCCCCCGGCUCAACCGGGGAAGGGUCAUUGGUAAACUGGUUGACUUGAGUGCAGAAGAGGAGAGUGGAAUUCCAUGUGUAGCGGUGAAAUGCGUAGAUAUAUGGAGGAACACCAGUGGCGAAGGCGACUCUCUGGUCUGUAACUGACGCUGAGGCUCGAAAGCGUGGGUAGCAAACAGGAUU
This 260-nucleotide ribosomal RNA is filed under the name uncultured bacterium. RNAcentral describes it as "partial 16S ribosomal RNA". It matches the Rfam family "Bacterial small subunit ribosomal RNA", at positions 526 to 779 of the family's 1533-position model. The record is from RNAcentral.